AACGAACGCUGGCGGCAUGCCUAACACAUGCAAGUCGAACGAGACCUUCGGGUCUAGUGGCGCACGGGUGCGUAACGCGUGGGAACCUGCCCUUAGGUUCGGAAUAACUCCCCGAAAGGGGUGCUAAUACCGGAUAAUGUCUUCGGACCAAAGAUUUAUCGCCUUUGGAUGGGCCCGCGUUGGAUUAGCUAGUUGGUAGGGUAAAAGCCUACCAAGGCGACGAUCCAUAGCUGGUCUGAGAGGAUGAUCAGCCACACUGGGACUGAGACACGGCCCAGACUCCCCCGGGGGGGGCGAGUGUGGAAAAUAUGGCAAAGUGCGAAAGACCCUUCCCCCGCAGCCCCGGGAGUGAGAUAAGGCUUUGGGGUUUAAAACCCUUUUUCCCCGGGGGUGAAAGACACUGCCCGGAGAAAAAACUCCCGGGCACACCCC
Molecule: ribosomal RNA, 432 nt
Filed under: uncultured bacterium
Lineage: Bacteria
Description: partial 16S ribosomal RNA
Rfam family: Bacterial small subunit ribosomal RNA
Source: RNAcentral